UAAAAACUCGCAUCCAGGCAUACAUAUAUCAUCAGCCUCGUCGUCGGGUUGCUCGAUAAGUGUAAUUACAAUUGCAAUUGUUGGGUUUGCGGGCAAACCGUUAACGCGCGCGCGAAUGGCUAAAAUGUACACGGUCGAGAUGAUGACUCACAUCGAUCAGUAUCUGCGGCGCAUUAUGGAGCUGCAGAUACGGGACGUGGUCAAGCAGAAGCGCGACGAAGAAAGCGUCAAGUCCAUACUGGGUCGCCACACAAAGAUACUCGUCAAGUACAUGGUCAAGCUGGAGACGAAAGGCGACAAGACGGAGAAUCGUGUUCUGGUCUUUACACCCGUGAGGGUAUAUCUGCUCAGUGCCAAAGUGCCCACCAAGAUCGAAUGCCAUUUCCACUACCUGGACAUCGUAGGAGUCGAGAGCAAGAAGCCCACCCAUUUCUCCAUUGUGACCAACGAUCGGCCCUACUCGUUCGCAACCACCGGCGAUGCGGGCAGUUUCAGCUCGAACGCUGAUGUCAUUCUAACCGAUCUGGCCUCAGCCAUCAAGCAGAUUUUUCCAACAGUUCCUCUCAAAUACAUAAUACGAAAGAUCGAUAUCCAGCCACCGGAGCGAGAGACCAUAUUCUCCGAGGAAUUCCGACCCUCUGAUCCGCGCAAUGUCGGCCCCUGCGGCGGAUUCAGUGCCCAGUACGCCUGCAUGUGCGACUUCCAUGGCGUUCCCUAUCGCGAGGAGGUGGCCUGGGACGUGGACACCAUCUAUCUGUCCCACGACACCCGAGUGCUCAACCUGCGCGACUUUGACCACCUGGAACCAAAAGACCUGAUGGCCAUUGUUUCCGCUCUGGAGUAUAAUACAUUUUUUCGCGGCCUGAAGGCUGCCCACAUGCGACUGUCCCACGAGACCCUGGAACGCAUCCUGCACGUGCUCAAGCGUUCGAUGUGGCUGGAGGAGCUGCAUCUGGAGGCGCUAGGAUUAAGAUGGGAUUUCCUAAACAAGUUAUCGAUAUCUGUGAUAACGAAUAGCAAUCCCGCCAUUCGCACCAUUGAUCUGAGCCACAAUAUAAUUGAGGAUAAAGGAGCGAGCUCAUUGUGCGCCCUACUCGGAAAGAUUGUACAAGGUGCCAUCCACUUGGCCGGACCCAUCGCCAAGGUGUCCAAGGGUCUGUGCAAGCUGGCCCUGGCCCACUGCGGCUUGACUUCGAAGGGGGUGAACCAGAUGUCCCACUCCCUGACGCUCAAUCAAAGUAUUUCCAACUCGCUCACGUAUCUAGACCUAAGUGGUAAUAGUCUCAAAGAUGAUAUAACCAAUCUGCACAACUUCCUGGCUCAACCCAAUGUGCUGGAGCACUUGGACCUGGCCUCGACUGACAUCACAUUGGAAAAUUUGUUUGGAGCUCUCUUGCGCGGCUGUGCCACGCACCUGGCCCACCUCAACGUAUCGCACAACUCGUUUAGCACCAAAAAGGGCAAGGAGAUACCGCCCUCGUUCAAGCAAUUCUUCACCAGCACCCUCAGUCUGAAGCACCUCAACAUAGCCGGCUGCAAGCUGCCCAUGGAAGCUCUUAAGAAUUUGCUGCUCGGCCUGGCCUGCAACGAAUCCACAGCUGGACUUCAUCUAGAUCUCAGCGGCAACACGCUGGGCACCCAAGGCGCCCACGUGCUUGAGUCCUGCAUCCACGGAGUACGAGUGCUGCAAAGCCUGGACAUCAGCGACAACAAUUUGGAUGCUGAACUGGCGCCCGUGCUGACGGCCAUCUCAAAGAACCCCUCAAUACGAACGCUAUACUUAACCCGCAACCUAACGGGCAUGAAGCCAAAGCACAUUCCCCCCGUGAUGGACGCCCUGGUGAACCUCAUCCAGAAGGACGACUUCCCCCUGGCCGAGCUAGUGCUUUCGGAGAACAAGCUGAAGCACGACCUGCACGACUUCAUCAAUGCCCUCGGCAGCAAUCAGAGCCUGCAGAAGCUGGACAUCAGUGGCAAUUAUAUGGGAGAUGUGGGCGCCCGGCUGUUGGCCAAAGCCCUGCAGAUCAACAACCGACUGCGAACCAUUUACAUGGACAAGAAUGCAGUGACGCUGCAGGGAUAUGCAGAUAUUGUGUAUGCCCUGGAGCACAACCACAGCAUGCGCACCAUCCCGUUCCCCGUGUUCGAUAUUGCUCCGCACCUAAAGAGUCAUCCGGACAAGACGGAUGCGGUGAUGCGAAAGAUGCAGGAGCUGCUGCAGCGCAACUGCAAUGGACUGAAGCGCACCAAUGGUCAGGGCUUCCGGCUGCAACACGGAUUCAUGCUGUCCUCCACGCACCAGUUGGUGGACAAGCUAGUAGCCGAGACGCAGGACACCAUCUCGCUGGCCAAGGGCGGCAGUGAUUCCGCCUCGGCGGUGCAGCGCCUCAUAACCGAAGCGGAGAACUGCAAGCAGCUGAUGCCCAAGCUGCAGGAGGCGGUUCGCAGCGACGCCCAUCCCAUCGAGAUGAAGCUGACCCGAGUGGCCAGUGAGCUGGGCUACACGAUCAAGAGCUAUCUGGAGGAGACGCUGGAGACGAUGAUGCGAACGGGUAUCGAGCAGUGUCCCAAGACCCUGGGCAACCAGAUAGUGGUGCAGGAUCUGCGGAAGGUCCUGGCCGAACGCCUGCUGGUGCCCGAGGACUUCCUCCAAAGCUGUUUACUGAACAAUGCCGGCAGUGAGAUCAUGAACAAAGUUAGUGAAAUCGAGCAAUCCCUGGCAGCCGCCAUCUCGGAUAGGGCCACUGAUGAAGUUUUGGAGGCUCUGACCCGCUAUCGCAGGGGCCUCGGCAUUGCUGAGUCGCCAUCGGUACUGCUGGACGAGCCGCAAACGCCGGACAUCGUUCGCAGCCGCUCCAGUCAUGACGCGGAUGGUCUGAUCAUACGGCCGGGUGGAAGAGGCUCUAUAUUGCCCAAACUGGGCCUGGAAUCGCCCACUAAAUUGGAAUAUCUCAACCUUGCCACUCCUCAUCUGGCCACCAAGCGGCGCAGCGUUGCCAGGAAAGUGCGUCCCCAGUCUGUCGUGGAGAAUCUCAGCCUGGGUCAUAUACCAGAUCUCCUGGACUCGCCCUCUUCCCAUCGCUCCAGUUCCCAACUGUCGACCCGAGCGGCUGCAGGAGCCGCUGCCGUGGCCGGUGCCACCAACAUGACCGACAGCAUCGCUGCCAUGGACGACGGAGGUGUGGACGAGUGCUGUGACUCCAUCACCGAGUUGCCGAGCGCUUCUUUCCAGCUGCAGCACCUGGUCAAGGGUCGACCAAAGCGUGCCAAGACGCGUGCACCCACUCGGCCGCUGGUUAAUGCUGAGUGUGCCGGAGGCAGUCGGGAGAUUGGCGAGGGGCUGGAGCACUUCUUCCGACCCGGAUCGGUCACACCCACUACCCUCACGCCCUUGGUGUCGCCCACGUCGGAGGAGUGCAGCUCGCUGUCGUUUGUGGACAGUCCCACCAUGAGCCGGGAUGGAAACGGACACAUGACCUCCGAGGAGACUACACCUAUUCUGGAGGAGCGCCGUCCAAUCAAAUUGGAACGUCAGUCGCCCCUGCUGAAGAGUGCCUCCUGGGCCACAAGAUCUCGCUCCACUGACAAUCUGGAGAAAUAUUCUCCUCUGGUGGGUCGCAAAUCCCCGCUGGUUAAGAUGCGCACUGAAGGCGGACCGGGCGCUGGUGCCGGUGGCGAGGAGACAUCCAUUCCCACAUCCAAUCUUCUAAAGGCCACCGCCCGGGAUGAUAAAAUGCGGUCGCCAAGCAGCGAUUCAAUUAAGAGUCAUGCCACGGGCGAAGGCAGCGUGAUUGUCAAGACGGGCAAUGGCAUCCUGCGCACCCCAAUUGUGCUGCAGAAGCCACGACCCUGGUCGGUAGUCGGCAGCGAGCCGAAAGCCAGUGGGGAGCUGGUCACAGGAAAUGGGAAUGCUGAUUCCACGCCAGACAACCUGGAAGAAGAUGAAGUCGAGGUAGUGGCUUUUGGUUCAAGCAGCGGUGGCUCUAUAGUUGGCAUCACGCCUGGCAUAGCCUUAACCACCAGUACCAGUGGAGGUGGCAGCAUUGUGGGCAUCACACCAGGGGCUGCCCUGGAGAAGAAGUCUGUUCGCGAACUAGCCGCUGGACUUAACCGACUGGAACUUCCCCUCAAGCCGCCUGUUAUGCCCAGAACCCUCUUAAAUACAGCGAAUGCGCGCACGAGCAGCACCUCCACCACAUCCACGACCUCAUCCAACGGAGGGAGCUCUUCAACCACUUCCAGUACGUCUACGACAGUAUUAAACAGCCAGAACCAGACCCGUACGCAGGUUGUGACCACCACCAGCAGCGAGACAACUACGGAGCAGACAAGCAGUAGCUCUAGCAGCAUUAGUAGCAGCUCCUCGACCCGGCAGGAGCAGCGUCAUGCCAUGGCCUGUGCAAGUCUAAUCAGCAACGAGAUCCUGAGCAUGCGAAAUGGCCAAUUGGCUGGCAAGUCGGGAAGUUGUGCGGAAAGCGGAGGCGUUAAACGGAUCGCCGGCAAGGAGAUCUCCACACUGUUCGAGGUUUGAGCUCCGGGACUGGAACUGUGUUCAUCGUUCGAAAUUUUGGUGGCCUGGCCAAGUUGCUUCGUUGAUUUUGGUGCUCAUCAUCCUGAGACAUUAGUUGAAGAGCUGCAGCAGAGCAUGGCGAACCGACGCAUGUUUAGAGACUCGGCCUACACCAAGGAGG
RNAcentral lists this unclassified non-coding RNA (4691 nucleotides) under Drosophila ananassae. RNAcentral describes it as "GF11698". The record is from RNAcentral. Lineage: Eukaryota; Metazoa; Arthropoda; Insecta; Diptera; Drosophilidae.